This 428-nucleotide ribosomal RNA is filed under the name bacterium. Its description in RNAcentral is "partial 16S ribosomal RNA". It matches the Rfam family "Bacterial small subunit ribosomal RNA", at positions 355 to 776 of the family's 1533-position model. The record is from RNAcentral.
UGGGGAAUUUUGGACAAUGGGCGAAAGCCUGAUCCAGCAAUGCCGCGUGUGUGAAGAAGGCCUUCGGGUUGUAAAGCACUUUUGUCCGGAAAGAAAUGGCUCUGGUUAAUACCUGGGGUCGAUGACGGUACCGGAAGAAUAAGGACCGGCUAACUACGUGCCAGCAGCCGCGGUAAUACGUAGGGUCCAAGCGUUAAUCGGAAUUACUGGGCGUAAAGCGUGCGCAGGCGGUUGUGCAAGACCGAUGUGAAAUCCCCGAGCUUAACUUGGGAAUUGCAUUGGUGACUGCACGGCUAGAGUGUGUCAGAGGGGGGUAGAAUUCCACGUGUAGCAGUGAAAUGCGUAGAGAUGUGGAGGAAUACCGAUGGCGAAGGCAGCCCCUGGGAUAACACUGACGCUCAUGCACGAAAGCGUGGGGAGCAAACAGG